AUUGAACGCUGGCGGAAUGCUUUACACAUGCAAGUCGAGCGGCAGCGCGGGGGCAACCCUGGCGGCGAGCGGCGAACGGGUGAGUAACAUAUCGGAACGUACCCCGUCGUGGGGGAUAACACAGCGAAAGCUGUGCUAAUACCGCAUACGACCUGAGGGUGAAAGCGGGGGAUCGCAAGACCUCGCGCGAUGGGAGCGGCCGAUAUCGGAUUAGCUUGUUGGUGAGGUAAAGGCUCACCAAGGCGACGAUCCGUAGCUGGUCUGAGAGGACGACCAGCCACACUGGAACUGAGACACGGUCCAGACUCCUACGGGAGGCAGCAGUGGGGAAUUUUGGACAAUGGGGGCGAACCCUGAUCCAGCCAUUCCGCGUGAGUGAAGAAGG
RNAcentral lists this ribosomal RNA (385 nucleotides) under uncultured bacterium. RNAcentral describes it as "bacterial SSU rRNA". It matches the Rfam family "Bacterial small subunit ribosomal RNA", at positions 29 to 414 of the family's 1533-position model. The record is from RNAcentral.